Molecule: long non-coding RNA, 1092 nt
Filed under: Fukomys damarensis (Damara mole-rat)
Lineage: Eukaryota; Metazoa; Chordata; Mammalia; Rodentia; Bathyergidae
Description: lncRNA (ENSFDAG00000033501.1)
Source: RNAcentral
CACACAGCUCCUGACCUGCAGAGCAGAAUCCAUUCCCUUGAGGGAACUGCUCCUGAGCAUGAGCUCCGGGUGUCCUGUGAUGUAAAAUGGAUGUGGCAGGACGCCCUGGAGGAAAGCGCAGGGCACACCCAGUGUGGGGCUCAUGGUGGGAGUGUCUGAGAUGUACAGGUUGUGCAGGAGUGGGGUGUUUCCAACUUGGAGAGUCGGUGUGGUCUGCAUCCCAGAAUCACCCAGAACAAUCCCAUCAGUCCAGAGCUGCAGGAACAGCCAUCACAUGGACUAGAAGCUUUGCUAUCUGAGGUCCAAGACCUUCGCUCAAUUCUCCUGAUAUAAGGCCCUUUCAGGAGACCUGAGCCCACAGGCUGGUGUCUAGGAAGAAGACAGAGGGUAUCUCCCUUCCUGAUGUGAGGAGCCUACUAAAAUUGUGAAGGAGUGAUCAAAACACCUGGGACUUUCCCCUACAAAUUCAAGCCAGGUCUCAUCCUUCCAUUUAAUGAAAGGCUGAAUUCUUUGGAGUUAAAGUAAAGCUUUUGUACUUCACCACCGUAAGAUUCCUUCUCCUUGGCUGGAACCCUUCCUUACAUAUCUUUUGAUGUCAUCUGAGCUUCUACACUUUGGAAUGUCCCACUGGCCACUCUUUCCAGCUUCACAUAUGGUGCCACUCGUGAGUUUGGGAGUGGUUGCUAUUCUCUUUCACCCGUUCCCUGACAACAGGGCACAGAGUGGCACACACUGAGGCCACCCCAGUCCCUGAGGACUCUCCUGCCACGUGUCCCCAUUGUGUCAAGCAGGAUAUCAUGACAGACUUUGUCAGCAGGCUUCCUCUAGUCAAGUAACACCACGCUACAGCUUCCCACUGCUUUGGAACCCCACUGGCAAAGGAAAUGAGGGGGUUUGGUAUGAAUGGCUGUUGAUGAAGUCUUGUUGGCUCAGCUCACCACUUUGUUUUUUUUCUGCAAAGAUCUCCUCCUCAGCCUAUUGAAUAAAUCUGUGAACCAUAAAUUCUGCUUCAUGCCUAAUGGGAAAAGGUAGUUAAGUGCAGAUGUCUUUGAAUAUUAAAAUUAAAUGGCUCCGAGCUGCCAUUCUGCCCAC